This 438-nucleotide long non-coding RNA is filed under the name Mus pahari (shrew mouse). RNAcentral describes it as "lncRNA (MGP_PahariEiJ_G0006445.1)". Lineage: Eukaryota; Metazoa; Chordata; Mammalia; Rodentia; Muridae. The record is from RNAcentral.
AUUUUAUUAAUUCAUAACUUGAUUGAGUCACAGUAAAGAGAUGCUUGCUAAAUUAUUACAUAGUAAGAUGAGUAGGUUUGGCCUUAAAAGUUUCUUAUUGUUGUGAAUAAUUAUUUGACUAAAAAGCAAUGAAGGACAAGCAGGCAAGUUAAGCUUUACACCACUUUCCAUCCAUUCCUGGAUCUUAAGUCAUGCUGCUUGUCACGGACAUUCAGGAUUAGAAUCACAGAAUUUGUUCUACAAGCCAAAGCCACAAUAAAACCACUUACCAAUAAAAGUAAGUACAGAAGAAAUGCAGUAGCAGUAAUCUAACAGGAGAUGCAUCAUCUGUUCUUUUGCUGAUACCAUCUAGGAUGGAAGAAAUGGGACAUGACAAGAAGAUCCCCAAAGCCAAUGAACAGAAAGGAUACUGGUAAUGAUGGACCACAAACUCCAAAA